GGGGUCCCCAGGGCGGGCCCCCCACGCCCGGCGCCCGGGGCGGUGACACCACCUGCGGGGGCGGGGCGGGGGCGCUGAGGCAGGGCUUCCCCCGCCGGACGUGACGUCACGCCUCCCGCGCGCCUAUCAGGGGCCUCCCCGCCCCCCGCCGGCCUCCCUCCCAGCUUCCCUCGGCCCCGCGCCGGCCCUGCCGGCCUGCGCCCUGCUGGCAGCGUGCCGCGCGCGCCGGGUCCCGCAGCCUCCUCUGCCCCCAGUGUCCGUCGUCCGCACCUGGCCCUCACCCCUUCACCGGCCCCUCACCCUCGCGCCCGUUUCAGCCUCCUCGCCCGCGGCUCCAGCCCCGUCUUGAUUGUUUUGAGGAGGGUGGGGGGCUGUACGCGGGAAACGAGCCAAGAGCGCAGCCCGCACCCGCUCGCCUUCACGCGCAGAGGCAACCCGCUGCUUAGUUGCCGGAGAUCGUCGGCCGGUUUUUGUCCCCUCCACGUGAUGCUCUGGAUGCUCGAGAAGCGAGAGCGGGGCAGAGGCUUGUCCGAGGGCUGGGGCCGCCGGGUGGUGGCAGCUGCUGCCCUCCCCCGCUUCGCGUUCCUGCUCUCCUGCUUUGUGAGCGCCGAACCCAGAGGCCACCAGGCUCCAAGCCCAGAUGCCUGAUGGGCAGAAAUGGGGUCUUUGAUUGAAGGUGACAGAAAGCGGUGGGAGGGAAAGC
Long non-coding RNA from Bos taurus (domestic cattle), 703 nucleotides. Lineage: Eukaryota; Metazoa; Chordata; Mammalia; Artiodactyla; Bovidae. The record is from Ensembl.